Callithrix jacchus (white-tufted-ear marmoset) is the source of this 299-nucleotide unclassified non-coding RNA. It matches the Rfam family "Metazoan signal recognition particle RNA". Rfam says of the family: The signal recognition particle (SRP) is a universally conserved ribonucleoprotein. It is involved in the co-translational targeting of proteins to membranes. The record is from Ensembl. NCBI's taxonomy places the organism in Eukaryota, Metazoa, Chordata, Mammalia, Primates, Cebidae.
UCCAGGCACGGUGGUGCGUGCCUGUAAUCCCAGCUACUCGGGAGGCUGAGGUAGGAGGAUUGCCUGAAUCCAGGAGUUCUGGGCUGUAGUGCGCUAUGCCAAUUGGGUGUCUGCACUAAGCUCGGCAUCAAUCUGGUGACCUCCUGGGAGCGGGGACCACCAGGUUGCCUAAGGAUGGAUGAACCAGCCCAGCUUGGAAAGGGAACAGGUCAAAACUCCCGUGCUGAUCAGUAGUGGGAUCGUACCUGUGAAUGGCCACUGGACUCCAGCCUGGGCAACACAGCAAGACCCCGUCUCUU